GUAAAGUAUUACUUUUAAUUUAUUUUAUGCCAGAAAUUCUGCUGGGUACUGAAAACAUAUAACAAAAAUAUAUGGCUAUUACAUGUGCUUUAUACAGUGAACCCUUGAAUUCAGACACACAAAUAAUUAAUAUAAUGAGGUAAGUGAUAUAAUGGUGGUGUUUACAGAGUUUUUGUGCCUAUAGAGGAGGAAUAAUCUUUUUCCUGGAGUUAAACUUAUGAUAUCUAAGUAAACAAAAAAGGGCAUAUUUGAUUGAAAGGUCAGCAUUAUAUAUUAUAGUUGUGACGACUAUAAGAUACAGAUUCUACUAAUCAAUAUCACUGUGGGAGUGACUAAUGCCAGUAAACUUGGUCAUGUUUUGUUUUAAAGGGAUAAAAUUUGCUGACAUAAUGACCAAACAUUAAUUAUUAAACAAAAACACCUGAAUGAGGUUCAGAUAUAUGUGCACUAUACUAAUGUAUACUUCAUGAAAAAUAAAAGAGAACUCCAAAUUUGGACUUGAGCCCAGAUUCAACUAGAGAAUGAGCCAGAACCAGAUCUAACAGCACCAGGUGUGGUCUAAGAAGUCAGACUUGAAAACGGAUUUUGAAGUUGGACUACUGGCCAUCCAGCUAACUGCGGGAGACCUGUCAUUAAUGUUGUUAUUGUGUUGUCAAGAACUCGGUGCUGAGUUUGAAGUGAUUGAAGCAUUAGCCUCUGUGAAUAUCUACAAGGAUAUUUUCAAAGAAGUUUCGAAAACU
Molecule: long non-coding RNA, 740 nt
Filed under: Callithrix jacchus (white-tufted-ear marmoset)
Lineage: Eukaryota; Metazoa; Chordata; Mammalia; Primates; Cebidae
Description: lncRNA (ENSCJAG00000078039.1)
Source: RNAcentral